Molecule: ribosomal RNA, 500 nt
Filed under: uncultured bacterium
Lineage: Bacteria
Description: partial 16S ribosomal RNA
Rfam family: Bacterial small subunit ribosomal RNA
Source: RNAcentral
AUUGAACGCUGGCGGAAUGCUUUACACAUGCAAGUCGAACGGCAGCACGGACUUCGGUCUGGUGGCGAGUGGCGAACGGGUGAGUAAUGUAUCGGAACGUGCCCAGUCGUGGGGGAUAACGUAGUGAAAAUUACGCUAAUACCGCAUACGAUCUAUGGAUGAAAGCGGGGGAUCGCAAGACCUCGCGCGAUUGGAGCGGCCGAUAUCAGAUUAGGUAGUUGGUGGGGUAAAGGCCCACCAAGCCAACGAUCUGUAGCUGGUCUGAGAGGACGUACAGCCACACUGGAACGGGGACACGGUCCAGACUCCUACGGGAGGCAGCAGUGGGGAAUUUUGGACAAUGGGCGAAAGCCUGAUCCAGCCAUUCCGCGUGCAGGAUGAAGGCCCUCGGGUUGUAAACUGCUUUUGUACAGAACGAAAAGGUUUCUACUAAUACUGGGAGCUCAUGACGGUACUGUAAGAAUAAGCACCGGCUAACUACGUGCCAGCCGCCGCAGUAA